RNAcentral lists this ribosomal RNA (484 nucleotides) under uncultured bacterium. RNAcentral describes it as "partial 16S ribosomal RNA". It matches the Rfam family "Bacterial small subunit ribosomal RNA", at positions 30 to 507 of the family's 1533-position model. The record is from RNAcentral.
AUUGAACGCUGGCGGCAGGCCUAACACAUGCGAGUCGAGCGGAUGAAGGGAGCUUGCUCCUGGAUUCAGCGGCGGACGGGUGAGUAAUGCCUAGGAAUCUGCCUGGUAGUGGGGGAUAACGUCCGGAAACGGGCGCUAAUACCGCAUACGUCCUGAGGGAGAAAGUGGGGGAUCUUCGGACCUCACGCUAUCAGAUGAGCCUAGGUCGGAUUAGCUAGUUGGUGGGGUAAAGGCCUACCAAGGCGACGAUCCGUAACUGGUCUGAGAGGAUGAUCAGUCACACUGGAACUGAGACACGGUCCAGACUCCUACGGGAGGCAGCAGUGGGGAAUAUUGGACAAUGGGCGAAAGCCUGAUCCAGCCAUGCCGCGUGUGUGAAGAAGGUCUUCGGAUUGUAAAGCACUUUAAGUUAGGAGGAAGGGCAGUAAGUUAAUACCUUGCUGUUUUGACGUUACCAACAGAAUAAGCACCGGCUAACUUCGUG